AUGUCAGAUAUUGUACACAAUCAUGCUGAACAUGUAGAGAAAAAGAGAAGAGUUUUGCGCGGCAAUACAAUGUCAUGCAGACAUUGCUCCAUGGUGGGUUCAAUGGCAAACCCUCCCCACCCCUCUCAAGAUUGUAAUCCAGAGGAAGAUAUCUAUUCUGAGGCGGAUUCAGAUGCCGCUGACCACUCCUAUUUACCUCCAAGGUGUUUUCUCUACCUUGGCAUGGCGAUGUUAGUCAUAUCAUGCAUAUGUUGCCUUGCAGUGCCUACUUUUGACAUCAUAUAUGACAUAUUCUUAGUUUAG
Molecule: ribosomal RNA, 303 nt
Filed under: Triticum aestivum (bread wheat)
Lineage: Eukaryota; Viridiplantae; Streptophyta; Magnoliopsida; Poales; Poaceae
Description: partial small subunit ribosomal RNA
Source: RNAcentral